GUGUGAAGCGGCUGGGAUGCGAAUUGGCACCUCCAAGUCCGAGACCAUGGUCCUCAGUCGGAAAAAGGUAGAUUGCUGUCUCCGGGUCGGAGGGGAGGUCCUGCCUCAAGUGGAGGGGUUCAAGUAUCUCGGGAUCUUGUUCACUAGUGAGGGUAGGAUGGAGCGGGGGAUCGACAGGCGGAUCGGAGCGGCGUCAGCAGUGAUGCGGACGCUUAACCGAUCUGUCGUGGUGAAGAAAGAGCUGAGCCGUAAGGCGAGACUCUUGAUUUACCGGUCGAUCUACGCGCCGAUUCUCACCUGUGGUCAUGAACUUUGGGUAAUGAGCAAGAGAACAAGAUCACGGAUACAAGCGGUCGAAAUGGGUUUCCUUUGCAGAGCGGCUUGGCUCAGCCUUAGAGACAGGGACACUCGGGAGGCGCUCAGAGUAGAACCGCUGCUCCUUCACGUCGAGAGGAGUCAGCUGAGGUGGCUCAGGCAUCUGGUUAGGAUGCCUUCUAGAUGCCUCCCUAUAGAGGUGGCCCACCGGGAGGAGACCUCGUGGCCGGCCCAGGACCAGGUGGAGAGAUUAUAUCUCUCGCCUGGCCUGGGAGUGCCAGGGAAUCCCUGUGGAGGAACUGGUGGAAGAGGCUGGGGUGAGGGCCGUCUGGGCUUCCCUCCUGAAGCUGCUGCCCCGCAACCCAGACCCGGAUAAGCGGAAGAAAACGAUGACGACGACUGAAUAUAUGGCUUUACAUGAAUGGAUAGUGAGGAUGGUAGUAAUGCAACAUGAUAGAUACCAACUGGUAUAUGAAAACUCAAAGAAAAUGAAGCAGCAGCAAACAUGCAGAAAGUAGUAGCUGGAAUCACUGCCAUUUUAACAAUCUGCGCUUGGUCUUGAUAUCAGAUUUUUUACUUCACAAUUAUCAUGACCUUAAAAUAUUGAUUUGAUAUUGUUGAGAUAUUUGUGGAAAACCUAAAUUUGUUAAAAAGGCUGGUAAUCAUUAACACCCGUACACCCUAUGUCAGAUAAACCAACCCAAUCACAACGAUGACAUUCCCUCAGCUUAUUUGCAAACAGCCAAGCUGGCAGCUUCUGCUCCUGGAGGGUCUGUUUGAAUCUGCCUUUUUAAAUGAACUGGAUGAUUGAUUUUCAUAAAAACACGAACAGGGCAGUUUUGUAUUCACAUCGUUCACCAUUCACCACAGGGGAUUUUCCUUCCAACACUAAGCUGGUCAGUUGUCUGAUGUGUCACUUCCCCCCUUUGCAGAGGUUUCCAGCAUUGAAAAUUACAAUGUAGAAAUAAUCAGUCUUGCUGCUAAUAGUCCCACUCUGAAUGAGGGAUCACUGCUAAUUUCUAUUUGUCUCGUAACCGCUUAAAACCUCCUCAUGGGACCUUUGAAUCAGGAAGUAUUUUUAAACUUUUGGGUGAUGAAUAUAAGAAUGCCUGACCUUCACUCACACUCUUGUCGAUUUACUGUGUGUUAGCUGUACUUUGGCUUAAGUAUGGCUGUCAGAUACUCCGUUCUUCUCACAGACAGUCCCCUGCUUAUCAUUUCAUGAGUGUAAAGCAACUAAAAGCAAAAAACUUGCAUUUAUUCUGUGACUUGCUAGACAAUCAGACAAACAGGUUGCAGUUUUGAUAAUAAGAAUGAAUGUAAUGACAACAUUUAAACCAAAAAGUCCAAAUAUGUUCAAAAGACACAGUCCAAUAUAAAAUCUAGAGAGUAUCCAGAAGUCCCUGUUAGUGGGUAUCAAAGCAUCCAGAGACCUGCAGCCCCCCUGACACCAGAGUUGGGCUGUCAUCUCUGUCGUCUCUCAGGAGUAAACUGUGAUACCUUAUCAGAGCUCUCUGGGUCCUGCAGACACUGCUGUCACGUUUGAUGGAUCUUUUCUCUCCGCUGUGUCUUCAAGCUACAUAAUAUCGCAGAUAACUGGACUGUCACUCACUUUUUUUUUUUCAGCCUUAUUAGAUCACUUCUCUUAGUCCUAAAAACAUUUGAGUGCAGCUAACAGGCCUGUGUGGACGGCUGUCAUCCCCUUAUCUGAAAUCUUAUCCCCUAGUUGAUGGAAAGUAUGAAAAAAAAAGAUAUAUUUUACGAUAUAAUUGACCCAUAGACUGUAUAUAGAAUGGACGCCUUCUGCCUCCUCACUGGGUUAAGCCGCCCUGAGAACAGCACCCUCUGGUGACGGGCUGCGGUAUAGGUCAUAAAUCCCGCCUCCUCCAGCAAUCCCUAUGGAGCUGUGGACAAACUUUAGAAAUUUAUUACACAGAAUGUAAAUUUUUUUCUCCCCUGCAUGCGAUGUUGACAUGUAGCUACUGUAAGACUGGUUUGUGCUCAAGUCAUUUUUUUUUAUGUGCAGCUCCGUUUUCAAAAGUUAUUAGGGGGUUCAUGUUUUCUAUGAUUGAUACCUGAUACAGCCUAUGGGCGUAUGAAGAUUGCAUAGCUCAUCCGGGGAAUAUGCUGUUUGAGGAGAGCGUCGUCACAGCGACUCUCCUGACGAAUGCGUACAAUGCUACUGUGCUGUGGUGGAGUGCGUACAACGCUACUGUACAAUGUUGGUUUCAGGAAAUAUCGCAAGCUUUUCGGCUUCAAAUCCAUUUACUGGCAGAAGGCGGAACCAAGUAGUCCACAGUAUAUACAGUCUAUGAAUUGACCAUAAGAUUUUAAGGGAGUUCCUGCUGUUUUCCAGCAGCAAGUUAUAUCUAGUAGCUAGUUUGUUUUGGACCAAUAUGUAUAAGUAAAAAAAAACAUCCAAUAACAUUAAAAAGUGAAUAGAGGGAGUAAUACACUUGCUGCAGAUUAUUGAUUGGUUUAAAAAGGGGAAACAACAGUGAUGUAAAUGUUUGCCAUAUCACAGGACCAACUAUUUGGUUUCACCAUUAUUUGUCAGAGCAUUUAGAAAACAGAUUUUCAUUGAUGGUUUGUUUGCCAUUUAAGUCCUCAUCUCUGUUUUAAAAAAAUCAGUUUGUCAGUAAACCCCACAGAGGUAAAGUCACUAUUGGAGCUGUAUCUGGCAGCAACAACAAGCAUGUAGAUCCCCAACAUUCCUGUUGAUUUGAUCAUUUUUAAAGGUCUUAUGAUCAGAUGUUCUUUUAUACAGACACGUAUUUUUUAAUUACCUUGAUGAUAUGUUUCGGCGUGCUGGCAGCAGUCUUCCUUAGAGUGUGACGCAUCUUAAAAUGGCUGAUGUUUCCAAAGAACAUCUAAUUGUAAUUUAUCAAAAAAGACACAAUGAACCUAAUCCAAGAAUUUUUAAAGGUCUGUUUCUGUUUCUCGAUCAGGUUGAUUAAAUCCAGUUUUUCUACAAAAUAUCAGGACAAAGUGUGAUGGAGUACCCGAUACUAGAGAGCUGUGUAUUUAUAAAUCAAUUUUAUUAUGAUCUAAACUGAAAUUGAGCUUUGUGGGCCCAGAGCAAUGCCAAAACUUUCUGUAACUAUGAGUCAUUUAGACUCCUUAAUAAAUGUUGAAUUGCGGCUGAGGUUUCUGCUGACUUAUAUUCGUGUGACGUUGAUCAGGUGUUAUUUAGAGUUUUUCUUGAAGGACAUUUAAUGAAUGAGCUUGCAGAUAUAAAUUUACUGAUAAAAAGUAAAAUACAAACACUGAGACUAAUUUUCAAGGACUUUGUGUACAUGUUUUUGUCUCCAUCAGGACACACACGUCUCCACGGAUUGAUUUACAAACCUCAUCAUCUCAGAGGAUGGAGGCAGCUUCAUCUAAAUUCUCCUGUCCCCUCUGAGACCUUCCUCUGAUAGGAUCCAUUAUCUCCUGUUGUUUCAGAAUGGCACUUCCUGUCGGGAUAAGCAGCCUAAUUGUAAAUUUGCAUAAAGCAAGAAUAAAUGGAGGACCCCAGCAGAAAACCUCUCGGUGAAUUUGCAUCCAAAUUGGAUCAGCCUCGCAGACUUAAACUGUUGUUUGUCCUCAUUUUUCUCCCCUCCUCCUCCUGGCUGUCACCACAGUCCCUCGGCUGGUUAUUGUUGUGUUAAAGUUUGCUAUUAAAGAACGUGAGGCGCGUUGGAGGGAGUCAUAAAUCAAUGCAGAGUGUUUGGAAGCAGACAGCAGACUCAGGGAGAGAGGCACAUAAAACAUUUCACUUUUCCAGAUUCCAGUCUUAGAUGAAAUCAUGUUCCACCUCGGCUACAUCUCGGAUAAAAGGUAAAUCAAUUGGUGGGCUUGACUAUGAAUGGAUUGUGGCUGCAUAAGGCUCCAAGAACCGCACAUUGUCCUCCACCUCAUCUCAAGGUAUGAUUGAUAAAGCAUCAUACCCCGAUUUCAACACACCGAAACACCCAUGAAGCUUUGCGUCUCAUGCAGUUAAAUCCUAUUUUGUGUUUGAUUGUGGAGAUGAACCAUCAGCAUCGCCACAAAUCUAUCCACAGAUGAUGCCCCAGAUGAAUGCAUAAUGGCUCAUUUGAAGCCUCAAAGUGCAAUUUGUGGUGCUUUUAACCCUUUAAUACUGAUGCACAGGUAUUGGAUGCACAAAUACUGCAAAUCUUUUUGUGCAGGUUUCUUUUUUUUAACUGAAAGCUGUUGUGCCAUCAUAAAAGUAACUCCAACACCUUUUUUAUUCAGUCUGUAAUUUAAGGAACAACAAUGAAAACUGCUCUUCGGGACCUCAGGGCACAGUGACAGCUCACAGGGAGAAAUCUUAAAAUCUCAAAAAACUCACCAGCAGCUAAAGAGAAGAUGAGACAGACAGGCAGUGUGAUGUGAAUUUUGUGAAACUUCGAGGGACAGACACUGGUGGGAGGACCGAAAGAAGACUGAUGACAGAAGGGCCGGUGUUAAUCAAAAAGCCUUAGGGUCGAUAAUUAAAUCCAAAGAAAGCAGAUACUGAUGAAACUCCGAACACAAGUCAGUCUAAAUAAAAUCAGCCGAGCCAUAGGAAAAACACUGAAAAACAGGAUAUAGGGUAUAAAGACAAACUGGUCCAGAAACAGGAGUGGACAGACGACAUGAGGAAGGUGAGUCUAAUCAUUUUCACCUGUUUCUGCUGUGUCUGACCUUAGAGCUGGACUCACCGUUACAAAAACAAGGAUCGAACAAAGGAAAGGAAAUGAAACCUCAGCCAGUAUGUAUGAACAAGGGAGUGAAAAACACAAUAAUUACUGAACAACACAACACAACAAUGCAGCGACUCACUGGGUUUUCAUGGCCAUAAUCCUUGCUAUUACAUUUUAAAUCAAUUGAAGCACAGAGAGACCUGCUAAAGAUGGAAAGGGGAGUUGCAAUAAUCUACAAUCAGAAGAAAUAGCAUUUUUUGCAAACAGACAUUUCGAGCACUCCUGCUAAUGCUCUGCUCAUAAAGCGUCAGACCGCCUGUGUUUUGGCUGCAUUACUCAUCACUCAGUCUGUUUACAUGUUGUUACAAAAUGAUUUAUUGCAUCAGUCAGACUGGAACAGGAUGAAAUUCAACUUCGAGUCAGACUAACAUACCUGGAUAAUGUGAUUGGGGAUUGACUUUCUCUCCCAUGUAUACAGUUUAAUUAAACUGAAACUGGUCUAAAGCGAGGCACACACAUACAGAUUUUUAAAUCUGAAGAGAUUUUCUAUCUGUUACAGACCCCACACAUGAAAAUAAAACACAAAAAAACAAGAAGAAGAAACAUAGCAACUACUGGGAAACACAAGAUGCAACAUGGAAGAGGACACACAAGAGGAGGGAAUGAUGGUGGUUUUGGGAGUGUUUUUGACAGAAAAACCCUGUACUAAAAAAAAGAAAAGACCGUGGAAAAAUCCUGGAGACAGAGUGAACGUGGACUUUAUUUGUUCUCAAAUUAAGCUAAUGGCUGGUGUGAUUUUUCUAGUGACACAAAUAAAUGCGGCAGCCAUCAAGGAAGACAAAUUGUGCAUGGUAAAUUGUGUUUAAGUCAUUCGUUUGUAUUAUGUUAACAGAUAACUGAUACAGCAGGCUUCUUGAUUGGCUACAUUCUGUUUCACGUGACAAUUCACAGAGUCAUGACUUGGGAGUCGCCGGCUUUCCCCACACACGUGAGGAUUUUAGGUCGUAAAUUUUGAACAAGUUUGAUAUUUACGAUUGUCGCCCACCAACCCAUUUCAGACCCAAUUAUUGGGACAAAUUCACUAUUAAUACAACUCAGACCACAGGUUAAUCUUAUAGGAUAAUCUUAUUAGACAUAAGAUAAUCUUCUGAUUGUCGUCCUUAGUCGGGAGGGGGAAAAUGUUCCAGAGUUUGUACACUGGACUUUAAACCAGAAGUUUAAUCGUGCAACAAUAUAAGAAAAAAAAAAGGACAAAACUUUCCUCUCGUACAAACCAACAGUUUACCAUUUUUAUAGUGCGACGUAAGUACCGUUAGCCUCUCACUAAUGCAUUUUGCAAACUGUUUUGAUAUGUAAUACUUCAUCAGGGAGAUGACCCAAUAGAAACGUACUGAAAGGAGUCUUGUUACCACUGACCCUGCUUCUGUCAAUAAUUUGAUUCUUGCCUGGUGCCAGUAAACUGGGACAAAAAUAGUCGUCAAGGUAAAUCGCCUAACUGAGCUGUGUAGCUUAGUCCUCUCAGUUGUACCCAAACAGAAGCCAUAAUCUUUUAUUCUGGUGUCUUGACUUUGAAAAUGUCAAGCUGAAGGAGACCUAUUAUACUCGUUUUCACCCUUCGUUUCAAUCUGGGAGAUCAAGUGUAGUUCUGCGUGAUUUACAGCUUGAAAAUCUUAUCAGCAUCUCAAACUAGCAACCGGAAAAAACUCUUUAAAUGCUUUUUGGCCUCUGCCAGAAACACUUUGUUUUGACUGUUUUUCCGGUGACAUAGAUGUCUGUGUAGGUUCUCAUUCAUUCAGGUCAUGGUUAUCCAAGGUUUAAUCCAAAACUGGACUUCAUUAAGUUGUGGUGAAGAGAGCUUUGAGAACAGGGUCUUGGAAAACCAGUAAGGUAAGUUAGACACAGCUUGUGAGUGUUAUUUUUACACUUCUAUCCUCAAAUAUGAUUUUUUUCCACCAUGCUCAAGAAUCAGGUGCAGGUUUUUGGUACCAAGGACUUCUAACAUUUCGUGAAUGAGAUUCAUUAUUCCUGUGUAUUACAGUACUGAUCAGCACAGCAGAUUUUCAAUGAACUGUCAGUUUCUUCAUUUUGUCCACAUUGGUUUUCUUGAACAAUUUUUCCAGACAGCUGCAGGCAACACCGACUGUAAAUGUGGUGCCGAGAAACAGAGCGUCAUCUUUCAGUUUCCUUCUUAUUAGAGCUGAGAUGAAACUAUGGAUCCAAGUCAUAAUUGUCUGGGUGGGCUUGAUCUUUAAUAGUGACCUCUUUCUCAUUGUGAGUGUUUUUGAUCCAAUCAAAUCAGUUGUAGCGGCUUGGAUUGAAUCUAUAGCUCUGAGGUCAGGUUAUUAGUUUGGAGUUAUCUGAUUCUGUCCUCAAUACAUCUCAGAUAAUUCUUACAUUGGGUUUAACUAAUUACAUGAGUGUAUUUACAGACGCUCAACACCGGGUGAGACAAUGAUCUGUAGGUUUCAGUUCAUACUAAUAAGACUGUAAUAAGGCUGAAGUCAAUGAACAGAAGUAAGUCUAAUAAAGCAAAGGCUGCCCUCAUUAAACACUCCUAUUGAACUUCACUUUUAAUGGACUUCACAGGCUUCAUUAUGAAUCAGAUUUUCAUUGAUUAUCUGGUCAUGUGACAUCAUCUGAUGGGGAUUGAAUUGAACAAGAUUGUGCCCAGGGUUAUUUAUGUCCAACCUCAGACCUGUGGAGAAAAUAACAUCUGCAGGCUUUUAUUGACGUCCUGCAGUGAUUGUUUCCUCUGCAGCUCAUGAUGAAUUAGAUAUCAGAUUCACAUGGAGCUCCGUGAUAAAGACAUGGAGGAAAAAAACUUUUCGGACAGCUUCCCAAAGAGAAAUAAAUCUCACUUUGGUGGUAAUGAGUGAGAGCAGCAAUUUUUCAGGAGUUUGGAGAGAAGCUGAUAGAUCUGGAUUAAAAACACAAUAAAUCCAUACAGAACUGUGACACUUUUGUGGAUAUGCUAUAGACUGGGCAUUAUCAAGAAAAAGAGAUGAAUCAGCAAAUUAGUAGAAGAACUUUUAUGUCAAUAGAAACUUAUAGCAUGGUGUUUGCCGAUUUUUGGCUGGCCCACUUUAAAAGAUAAGACACACUUUGGGGAAAUUUGUCUUUGGCUAUUCACUGAUACUGCAGACACAACAUGUAGACAACAUACAACAUGAUAACACACAAUUAAGGUUAAAAUGACCUUGAUGGUGUACAGGACCGACAUGGUGCCAAAAGAAGAGAAGAGGAAAGUAUUCAAAGUGAGGGUGAAAAACAUAGAUAUGAUUAGUGGGAGCGUUAUUCCCAUUAAAGGGAUAUUCCGGCGUGAAAUUAAUUUAGGGUCAAACACACCAUAACACCGAGUUAGACACCCCCUCGAGAGUUGAAUGUUGCCGACCACUUGCUUCUUUAGUUAUACCAUAUUUAGUAAUGACCGCACAAUAGCAAUACACAGUGGUCUCAGGAGCCAUAAACAAGUUUCAAACAAAACGCCACUCUAUAGUCACAAAUAAUGCUCAGAACAGCACCUAACUUCAUCAACAGUACUGUAAGGAUGCCUAGCCCAGGUUCACAUUAGAAAGAAUCGAAGGUCCACACGAAUGAUCAUUUUGACAAGCUUUACUGAUUACAUAUCUGGGUUACAGUUUCAGCAGGCCAUAAGUGUGACCAACAGUGGUCCUCUACAAGUGUAACAAAGAGUGACCACCCCAAGUGUAGCAAAAAGUGGUCCACCCCCAAGUGUGGCAAAGAGUGUGACCAACACAAGUGUGGCCAUCCUAAGUGUAGCAAAAAGUGGUCCACCCCCAAGUGUGGCAAAGAGUGGUCCAAGACCAUUCAAGUAUUUAUAGCGGUUCACAAUCCUAAACAUACUGUUGGUAUUUAGUUGACCCUAAGAGAAAUCCAUGUAUGGUAAAAACAAAGGACAACAUUUUUCAAAAGCCUUAGAUGAACAUGUGGAAGGUCCCAAGAAGGAAAUAUCAUGACAAACAUAUUUUGGGGACCUACAUGGUGUAAAUAAUGUGUACAGGGUUCCUUGCUCAGGGAUGGUUGUAGGAGGCCCCCGGCUCCAGCAAUCUAACACCAAAGUGUCUGGGGUAUUUGAGUGACACAGCUCCACCACUCUACAGGCUGACAUGACUGGCUAAAGAAACUCAUCCUAACAAGUACAUAUAGGGUCCCAGCCACAGCACCAGCCACCAAGCAUCUUUUUAACUUUGCCUGAUUUCUUUAGCAAAGAGACUAAACACAACUCACCUACUCUCUUCCAGCAGCCGCUUGUUUGUAGCGAGACCUCAGGCCAGUCCAUUACGGACUGCUGCGGGGUGACGCAGCUCAAGGAAGAACAUUUAUGAUCAUUUCUUCAUGGAAAUGCAAUCAGACCGAGACACUAAGGCAGAAGAACUACCACGUUUGCAGUGCAAAAUGAUUAAUAUGAUGAUUAUAACUUCAAGGAAAUGAUAAUGAAAUGAUCAUAAAUUGAUCAUUUUGGUUGAAGUUUAUUUAUGGCUCCUCAGACUGCUGUGUAUUGCUAUCCUGUGGUCGCUACUAAAAUUAAUACCUAAAUUAAUUCUAUGCCGGAAUAUCCCUUUAAAGGCAAUGCAUGUACAUUGAAACUAAGUCAUUACUUGCUCUUUUCUCAACCGAUUUUCAUGCUGUUUACUUUAUUUUCAAAGCCAAAACAUGUGCUAUUAAUAUAGAACACUGAUAAAAAAUAAAGUUUAACAAAAAUUUUACUUUGAUGGCUUUACAUGUAAUUCACUUGCACAGAUUAUUCUAUCUGCAUUUGGUGUGAACCCAACAUUUUUGAGUGCUAACUUGCAGAGAGUCUCUUCAAAAAGUGUAGAGUGUCUUCCCUGUCUUUUUAAUUCUAGUUCAGGUAAAAAUAAAAGGCAGGCAACCUGUGGAAAUGUUUGUGCAGCCUCUGGAUGGGGACAGAAACCUCCUCUGAAUCUCUAUUUUCAUUUCCUCUUUUUUUUCCUGUCUGGACACCCUGUAUUCAUUACAAGAUGGCAGCACCUGUCCAUGUCGUUUAGUGGGAGUUAUUUGAUACGCCAAAGCCCAUUAAUCUGCUGAAUGCAGACACAGGCUGAAUGCCAAACUUGGUAUAAAGAGAGCAAUGUUUCUAUUAUUCAUGGCAGAGGAUAAUCUACACAAAACCACAGGAGGGCCUCGUGAAUAUAAAGGAAAGGAGGAGGAAUAUGCUGAGUAAUCACAAAAAACAUCAAAUUCUGACUUUGACAAGUGUCAAAGUUGAGGAAGAAGUAUGACAGGAGAACCCGAGGACCACCUCAAAGGUUAAGAAAUAUGUGAUGAAGAAAACAAAUUUAGCGAUGGCAGAGAAAAGGAGGAAAAAUUGCUUCUGAAAUACUUGGUCCCUUCAAACUCACUGGUGUUGACUAUCAAAGUCAUAACUACAAAAUGACACCACGAACAGACCAGCCAGUUAACACCAUACAUUCAGACCACAAGAAAGAAGACCAGACACACAAUCACUUCUUAUCCUUUUCAGCCUUGAAAAGGAGGAAAAUAAUUCAUCUUUAUCCCCUCAAUGACUGCCGACUAACUCUACCUCAUUCCCAGGAGUGCUCCCAGCCAGACAGGCACAGACCCUCCAUCAAGUUAGUUUUUCAGGCCACGUCAUCCUGAUAGUUUUGAAUUAGCAGCUCCAGACGAUGUCUAAUCUCAAGGGCGCAAAUUCAGCCAAACAAACCUUUUACCUUCAACUUUAAGAGCCUCACACUAGAACAUGAACUGGAGAUUGAGGUAAUUCUUGAUUUUCAUUCUUGAUGUAAGCUGCUUCAGAUUCUUCUCCAAGAUUUAAAUGAUUUGAAUAUAUUUUGUGAGUGGAUUAUAAGAGCAUAUCUCAAAAAUGGUGCUGAGAAAAACUAGAUAACAUUGUGGAAAGUGUGGAUGAGAAAAUAUAUGGUAUAAACACAGCAGCUGGUGAUCAUGGGAUGAGAAUUAAGUGACAAAAUGACAAAAAGGACGAUGACAGCAGCAAUUCACAUGACAUACAAUUACAAAAACACCAAUACACACAAAAAACAAGACUAUCUAGCUCCAUGGGGAUGCAAUGUAUGCACUAAAUUGGUUCAUCCAUCAAUAGUAAAGAUUAUAUAUUUGUUACAAUAAUCUUACAUACAAAGAAUACAUACAAUUGGAUGCUGCAUUUAGUAACACCUGUAAAAAAACAAGUUGCAUGAGACCAGAAUCUUGAUAGAUGGAUUGUAAACUUUAGCAUUGUAUUUCAGGUGGUACAAUAAUGAAGUGAGAGCUAUUAUUUGUUCUAUUCUAAUAAAAGAAGAAGAAGAAAACACCCUGAAAAUUGAUGAAAAAUAAAAAUAAAAUGUAUUGGAGCCCCACAGUAGAGCUGUUGUUAUGUAACUACCACAUGGAUUUUGCUGUGGAUGAGGCUGCCAUAAACCCUCUCAGAGAGAAAAUGAGAGAGAGCCGCAGCCAACCCCGCUACAGCAUUCUGGUUAGCAACAAUCAAUUAAGACAUUAAGGCAUUAACCUCACCCUCUGCAAAACAAGAUUUUUUUAUUGUGCAGCCUUAUACAGACACUUUGAAAAGGGACGGCAUCACCAGUUGAUCAUGAGAUAAAAAGCCUUUACAGUUAUUCUCAGGGUGCAUAGAAAGUCAUUUUUUCUUCUUGCAAACUGAAUGCACCAGAUGUGGAUUACUGUUCGACUGGCUCUGAAUGGGACUGAAUGCUACCUGAGUGCUUCUCAUGCAGCAAAUGAUGAGACUCCAAACUGCCAAACCACAGAGGCUGUCUUUAUUUCUAUUAACUUCACACAGCUGCAUAGAACAUGAGCGUCAUGUGUCAAGUGCAUAGACUUUAUAUAGUAUGGGCAACGUGAUUUAUCUCUCGUCAUUGUUGCGAAAAAAAAAGCUCAUCAGGAGAACGUGCAAUAUUUGCACACCCAUAGACUGCAUCAAAGUCUCAAUCAUAGAAAAUAUGAUGUAAUUUCCCAUUUUUAUAACCCAAAUAACUUUAAAAAAUGGAACUGCAAAGUUUUCAAAGUUUGGCCACAGCACCAUUCAUUUUGCUGGAGGAGGCGGGGUUUAUGACCUGUGCUGCAACUAGUCACCAGGAGGUGCUGUUCUGGCAGAGACUGCAUCCAGCGAGGAGCCAGAUGACGUCCAUUAUAUAUAUAUAUAUAUAUAUAUAUAUAUAUAUAUAUAUAUAUAUACAAUCUAUGGUCAAGUGUCAUACUUCUACUCCCCUGAGAGUCAAAUGUGCAAAAUGUGAGCUGACACAAAAGUCAUGCCGGCCUAUCCUGAAAGGUAUCUAAAGUUUAAAUCUAGACUGCUGGCUUGGACAUGAACCAUGAAACGACCUCCAUUUAGAGCAUUUCAGGUCAGACAAAGACUUUUUUGUUUUUUAAGCUAUUUAAAUUCUUCAAAUGACUACACUAACAUCCAUUUUAAUGACUUGUAGCACUACAGAUAGUGUCUAUGCGAGUCUUAUAACAUGAGAGUGUUCUUUGACUGUGAUGUAAUGGCAAGGUCAAUCUGGACACCUUCUGCCGGGCCGCAUGCUUUUUGAUUUGAUUAGAAAACGCCAUCAUGUGCUUCUGUGGGUGCAAAAGUUAACAGGGUCAAGUGUAUUGACUUUAUGCAUUUUCCCCGCAAGAUCAGUUAAAUCAAGUCCUGUUUUGUCACAAACCCUAUAUAAAAAAGGCUUGUGAUUGGCGUGACCUGAUUGAAAUCAGCGUGAACAGAGAGCACACUUCUGUUAGAGCGAAUCAAAGAUAAGCGCAUACACCCAUGAGGUUCCCCUUGUACUUCUUUCAAUCAUCUGAAGGUUACUUUGACCUGUAGAGAGGGAGGGGCUCUCUGUCACCAAGAUGAACAACCUUACUGUAUAUGUGUGUCCUUUAUACUAAUAAACAUAAGUAUUUGAUUCACCUUUGACUGCAGGGUUCAUCGCGGCCUCUAACACUCUGCUAAAGCUAGCUUGCAGUCUGCUACUUCUUUAUCCACCCUCUGUUUCAUGAUGUGUAGCAAAAGGAUAAGGACUACGACUAUGAAGUCACUGUAUUACCUUGUGCUUGUUUUUAUCUAUGUAUCUCUUUGUCUGUCUCCCUAUAUCUACAAAAAUAUACAGCUAUUUACAGUUAUUUUCAACAUCCGUGGCCGCACCUCCACAGCCCUAUAAGUACCAAACAAAUAUAAGUAAUUAUGAAUUUUGCAGCAAGUUUAAAUCUUAUUAAGUGUCAGUGUGCACCCGCAGUGAACAUGUAGCCUAUGGAUAAGAGUAUCCAGUAUGAAUAUGUGCAACCACACAUGGCCUACAUGUAUAUUUCCGAUGUUGGUGUUGAUUAUGCUGAUUGAAUAAACAAAAUAAAUAUUAAUGCAGACAUGAUUUGUAAAUAUUCAGUUCUUCUUGGCCUUUCUUUUGUGUAUAGUGAGGCAUAAAUUAUUAACCUCUCUGUUUACUGACCCAAACUCAAACCGGUAAUGGAAAUAAUGCAAAUGCAAUAACGCAUUUUGUCAUUAUUUGUACAGAGAAAAUGUUUCUGCGUUGACUGCUUUCAAUCUCAGGGCUGGUUUGAGUUUAGAGGAUGCUCUCCCUACUGAACAGCAGAUGGCAGCAUAUGAACACUGAUCGAUCCCACUACCCAGGACUUUGCUUGACAUCCUGAGUUCCUCUAAAUCUGCAGCUCUGAAAUUCUACUCUUUACCAGGCUUUCUUUAACAUUUGAUUCUUCAGUUUCAAAUAAAAACAAAAAAUGUCUAUAAAAUGGAAAGUGUGAGCUCACCAACAUCAUACAUGAGCGAUACAUGGAAAUGUCACAAACAGGCAACUAAACAAAAAAGUGAAGAUUGACUGAGCUCAACACACGCUUGAACCGGAUUGAAGGGAUAUUUAAGAGGUCCAAAAUAAUUUAAACAAGCGAAACACUUUACUAUCAAGAGUGCGUCAGAUAUUGGUGAGUUUUUUAUGAGCAAUAAAUUAAAAUUCAAAACUCUGUUGUUGUAAAAUUGCAGACUUACUGAUGUAGAUUGCAGCAGACAAGCAUUACUCAGGUUUUCUGUGAAAUUCAGUUUCUUAGAGUCUGGUGAAUAAAAAGAGUAAUGUUUCAUCUGGUUUUGGUUUAAAAGGAAAAAAAAUUCUUCUUCGACAAAACUUUUAGAUCCUUUCUGGUGGAAAAAUAUGAAAAUAGAGAGGUGAGAAAUUUGAACAAAUUGCUGGUGAGAGGCUUUUUGCUGUGAUAAAAGCUGUAACACAGAAGAGUAGAAAAAAUCAAGGUGCAACGCUGUAAAAGAGUAAAAAGCCUUUAAUUUAUCAAGCAAUUUCAUUUUGAAAAAGCUUAAAUCAUACAGUGAUGAUGUUUGAAGAAGAAGCAAGUAACGUUUCAUGAAAAGCUGCACAAACAGCUUUCUGCAGAGUACAGCGCUCUGCAUAAUCUAACACCUCAGAACAACCCAGAUCAAGACCCAACUUGGACUGGAGGUUUGGUGACUCGACUACAACACUGCCAGAAGCUGUACACAUCUAUCCAGUGUGUUCUUCAUCAAUCAAUCAGUCUCUUUAUCAAUCUUUUUCUUAUCUAGAACCAAUUUACAACAAAUGGUCUAUCAAGACAAACAAAAGAGCUUGUCUAGACCAUGCUCUUUCUUAUUUACAAAGACCCAAGAUGAAGACAAGCAGAAAUAAUCAAAAGGUUUGACAGUUAACAUUAGCUUUGCAACAAUGAUACAAGUGGAAAGACUGAUGAAAAUAGUUGAAACAGUUGAGACAGGCAGGUCCAUAUAGCAGCAGCGAUCCAGAGGAACCUACAGCAUGAUGGAGCUCAGAGACUCUGAGAAAAGACUGUGGUUACUGACUUUAAUGGAAAAUCAUGAUUCGAUGUUAAUGAGACAGACAGAGGAUGGAGAAGGAGGGAAAUGUCCUCAUUGUGCCAGUACUGAUCCUAGUAGUCUAAACCUAUAGCAGUGUAACUAAGAGCUGGCCCAGGCCUGAACCAGCACUUACUGUGAAUUUUAUCAAAAACAGAAGCUCAACCUACUCUUAAAAGUAGAGAGGGUGUCUGCAAAAGAAAUGCCCAUAAAUCAUACAGGUUAAGAAAAUGAAAUAAGUAAAAACAUGCAGGUACCAAUGCUGUCAAUCAGUACGUUUACAUGACACUCGAGAAAACCGAAUUAUUGCCCUUCUCCGAUUAAGACCAGACAACUAAAGAGCAUGUAAACACCUUAGUCCGACUAUAAUCAGAGUUUGAGAACUCUGAUUGAAGUUGGAGAACUCCGAUUGUGACACCCAGAUAAUGCGAUUGGAGUUCAUGCCCCAGUGACCCGGAACAAAAGUACCUCAUCUGCCGAAAAAGUAGCGCGUACAUCAUGUAUGACAAAAACAACGCUGUACGAUGCUUUAUCUUCUUGCUCGAAAAUGCCCAACAGCAGUUGUAGCCACUUCUGACGUCUGGCACGGACUGGAAACAGCGCCGCUAAAAAGACCCAUAUCGCCCCCUCACUUUAAGGAAGGAGGACAGGUAUACGUCUAUAAUUUGAUUUUCUCAGCUGCAUGUAUGUGCGGACAAGGAGAGAAGUGCGAUUCAGCAAAAAAAAAAAAAAAAAAAAAAUUAUGAGUUUAGUCCGAUUAAGCUGUCCAUGCGAGCACACUGAGUGUUAGACCAAAUGUUACAAGAGGGGACCCCAAGAUUCUUCCAAUCUAUAUCUACUUUUUGAAUCAUAAACUCAAAAUUUCUCCAUGUAUAUCACUAAGACCAGUUCAUGCAACCAGUUUCUGAAGCAUGGUGAAGGUGGUGUCUUCUGGUUUUUCAAAAUCCUUUUUGCCCUUGGCUUGGACCAUGCUCAUUAGAGUAGCUGUUUGGAUAUGUAAAGGGAGCAUAGGUCACAUAAAUCUGUAAUGAGGCCAUACAGGUAGUGCUGCUGAGGAUGGAGAGCAGGAGGGGAGCUGAAAUGUGUAUAUUUACUGAUUUGAGAGUAAAUUACCUGCAUGUAUACUGUUUAUAAGGAGAGUAAAUAAAAACCUCCCUGAGCUCCUCCACUGUCUGACCUCUGUGAAUUACAGUGUUGAUCCAGAAGGUUCUUCGGUGAGUGAAUUAACCUGAGAGAGACCUGAGAUAAAGAGCUGCUGAGACUUCCUCACUGCUGCUGAGCCUCAAAUUUACACCCCAAAUGAGCAUCUAUUUCUAUUUCCUGUUUGUGUUUGGGUCAGUGAACGGAGAGGCAUCUUCUUAAACAGAGUGAAAUUAUCUACUGCACCAUGAGGGAUAUCCUUUCAGCACAGUAGAGGUGUUUUUAAAAAGCAAAUCCUGUUAAAUUUCCCUUCAGUCUUGUUGUUAGGACCCAGAGUUAAGUAAGCCUCUAUAAAAGACACCUGAUGAUGUGCACACACUGUUUUCCUGCACAGUGUGGAGUCAUAAAUGAUGUUUCACAGAGACGAGUCAGCAGGCACCUGAUUGGAGAAGCCGCCCAGGGUCUUAAAACAGAAGCUAAGCUAAUGUGUUGCUGCAGAGAGAUCACAGGUAGCACAAAUAUUAGGCAUAAUUCGUUGUCCUAGUCUGUACUUUUCCUAUUCCACCCUGAUGUGAACAGUCCUCCUUGGUCCAGAGGUUUUACUUCGCUGUUUGUAAUCACACCCUGCCCACACGGCAGUGUGGAAACAGAUAAAAAUGCUCACAUAAGCAUGUCAGACCAGUAGGAGGUGAUGUGUUAUCGGUCUGUUAUGUCAAACAUCACAGACGACCCCAAACUGUGAGCGCAGUGCACAAAAACCACACCACAGCCCUGUGUUCUUACACAAUGUCACAAUGUAAAAACUCGGCCAAUCAGGUCAUUGACACUUAAAAGGAACAACAUAUAAAACCCAGUUAUUGAAGCAAUAAAAUGCUGCUCUAGUUUGAGACCAGGGUAUUUGGUCAACAUAUGUAAAUAACUCAAAUGGAUGAUCUGCUCUAUUGGAUCAAACUUGCUGUCCAGAUAUGCUACAAAGCAGCUCUGUGCAUGACUAAAACAGUAAUUAUGGACACUCAAUACCUCGUAUAGUAGGGUGACCAUAUUCUGACUUCCCUGAGUUCUAACUCAGUAAGUUCAUGUGACACAAAAUCGAAACGCUCGUACAAAACCGCGAACAUAUGAAGGAUUUUGUAAACUUCCACAAAAAAUUGACAAACCUGGACAGCCCCCAAAUAAGAGGACAUGUCCGAGUAAAAGAGGGUGUAUGGUCACCCUGUUGUAUACUUUUACAUGUUUGCUGACGAUUCAGUAUGCUCCUCCUGGAAUAUUAAUUCAGGAUUUUUAACAGAGGAUUAAAAUUUGCUCCGAUUACUCAGACAAAGCGAAUGGAAAGAUUUGCUGUGAUUUGGAGUGAUUCAGAGGUGGGCACAAUUAAUCUAAAAUUUAACUUCGAUAACCAUUAAUAUGCUCACAAAGAUGUGAAACAUGAUAAAAUUAAUGUGUAAAGUGAGUUCAGUCAGGAUCACUUUGUCAAAAUUCAGCUUUAUCAUGCAAAGUUACAGUAAAUUUGGCUGCAUAGUUCUGUUCCGGGUCCCUGCCCUUCCAUGUGCUUGUGCGGAAGCCAUACGCAGGAAGUGCCCCUUCCUCCACGCAAGCAUGUGUGUGAGGCAUCAUGAAGGCAGAAACAACGGGGGAUAGAGCAGCGAUGAACAGAACCGCCCCAAAACAGGAGCGCUUCAAUGGUAGUGGAGCAGUUUAGCGGGCACAAGUGCAGCUGGUUGAAGUUGAAGUGGCUACUUGCCAUUGGCUGCAGAUCAGCGCUUGACAUCGUGACCUGCCAGAACUAACGCUAUGCUUCAUUGAAUAUUAACAUUAAAACCUGUUCAGGUCCACUGGUCAGAAGCAGAGAAGGUUCCCAUGAUCCCAGUCCACUAAAAGAUUUAAUCCAAGCUCCUUAUAUCCAUUAAGAUCCACAGAUUACUUUACAUCUACCAAGGCCAGAUGGUCUUUGCCCAAGCUGUCUGGCAUUCAUCCUACUAUGUAAGAGCAGAGUCUGAAUCCUUCUUCUGUCAGCAUAGAUGCUCUUAGUGACUGGAUAUCAAACUGUAUUUAGUGAUCCAGAUCCUUUAGCUUAGUAAGAACUGGCUCCUAAUCAAAACCAGGUAUUUGAAACAGCUUCUCAACAAAGAGAAAUGACCCUUUAAAGCAGCAGAGCGUUACAAACAUCAGUCUCCACUGUUUCUGAUACUGAAGUAUCUACACCCCAUUGUCCUCUCAGACCUCAUUAAUCCAGUCCUCAAGCUCUUUUCUGGCCUGUGUCACCAUCAUGUUGGUAUCAGAGUGAUCCAGGAGAUGUUGAGCAGGCCCUUCUCCAUGUUUUCACACAGAGACAGUGAUCUGUGUUCAGUCAGAGCUCAGACUGCAGCCCAGCUCGGGGACACAGCAGAUGUGACCACAGCUGUAUCUGUCUGCAAGCCCUGGGUCUCAUUAGUAGAACGUCCAGGCAGACAGCCAAGAGCGUGAUGUCCUUUAAUGUCACAUGUCUGACAUAUGUAACAGAAAAAUACAUGAGCUUUGUCUAUUAUUUAUUGCUACUAUUCAUCGUCUGUUUGACAUUUGCGAACAGAUCCUCCCAAAUCUCACCAUCUGAUCCUUUAAAACCAACCCUAAACACCCACAGGGUGCAUGUUACCGAAACCAAACCUCCAUGAUUGUUGAUGCCAAAGAGAUCAAUCAAUCAUUUAAUCGAUCACUUUACUUUUAAACUGAACUAACAACCAGUGACCCCCCCUAAAAAAGCAAUGCCAUUUUUCUCUGACGUUUUAAAAACCUCAUAGAGCGAUCUCCAUGAACCCGGAGGAGAUCCUCUGCCUGCUGUCAGCCGGGGCACAGCUGAUGAGAUUUGACGUGGAUAUCUGAUUCUGACGUUAAUUUUCCUCUGAAGCUCUCGGGUUUUUGAUGGAGAGUAGAUUGAGCUAAAAGGGGGGAAAAAAACGGGAGAAUGAAGGCUUAAGGUGAGCUGGGAGUUGGAAAAUGAUGCAACUUUUCUUGGCUACGGCUUCACUUAAAGUACCACAGGGUUUCAGUGAAGGAAAAAAAAUCGAGUUUGUUGGAUUAUAGAUCAAAGAAAAUAAAAGAUAAAACGUUCUUUUAUUGAAUCUGAGCAGAUAAUACAAGAAAAAAGCAGAUGAAGGAGUUUAUUAAGGGACUAAACACAAACAAACAGACUGUCUUUGAGAGUUUUUAGAGACCCUGAUCUCAACACUGACGGUAAACAUCCAGAGACGCAGCUGUCUGAUACAAAGCACAGCCACAUGUUUUCACCGAAGAGUGUCAAAUAAAUCUCCCAGCCAUCUGACGCUCAACAGAAAUACGGUUUUUCUUUGCAUUUAAAUUGAGAACCUUUUCUUUAGAAAGGACAUUGAAUUGUGACUUUAGACAGACAUUUUCUUUUGAGUCGUUGGAGAAAUAAUCUGACAAGAUUUACAUGAUGAUGUCACUUUGUUUUCUAAAGACAGAGACAGUCGGGGUAAAAAAAAUUACAUUCAUAGUGAAUGUGUGUGCACAUAUAUUGUUUUCUAGCCCUGAACCUCCAUAAAUUUUAUCAGUCCAGUUUUACUGUUAUUUAUCAUAUUCUGGUCUGCAGAGUGAUCGAAUUAGCUGCACUACUGGCUGCAGAUGUAUUGAACAACAUAAUACUUUUAAAAAAGAGAGAGAGAGAGAAAGAGAGAGAAAGAGAGAGACCUUUUUCUCCACUAUUUUCCCCUCAUGUUUAAAAGGUUUUUAACCUUCCUCCUUUUACUACGCACGCACUAUGUUAAGGGUCAGUUUCAACCAGUGUCUUAAAUCAGCUGUAAAUUAAACUAAAAACAAUUCUCUAUCAUCCAAUUUGGUUCUCAUCUCUAGGUUACCUUGUUAGAUUUAGUGCCAUAAUUUUAAUAAGAGUAUUUUAUAAUUUAGCCAAUUUAAUUUUUUCAUUUUGUUGAAAUAGUAGUACCUGACAAAGUCAAAAAGUCUUGAUGCAAAAAAGCGAAUGUAAGUGGUUCUUUUAAGCAUUUAAAAUCAAAAACGGGUCGGUGCAGACCCCAACAUGGAAGGAGGGUUAAAGAAUGAACACAUUUAACACAACUACUAAAAUUUUUUAAAUGAUUGAUGCAUGCUAGUUUACACACAAAUCUGUUCUAUUCAGGUUUCAGGAGCGAGUUGUUGUCUUUGUUUAAUUUCAGAAGAACUUAGAUUUUCAAUAAACUUUUGAUCAUGUUAUCAUGUUUAAAAAGUUUUUGAAAGAGACAUACAACAUAGACCUGUCAGUCCUACCAUGCUAAUCUCAGUAGGAUUGAUGUUGAUGUGCUAUCUUUUUCAUUGUGUGCUACUUUGUCCCUUCCUGAAUGCCAUAGUUAGGCUGUUGCAGUGUCUUCCUGCUUCCUGCUUCUACUGUAACAGAAACAAACAAUACAGACAAAAGUUAUAUGCUGUUAUAUUAUACAAAUUAAAUCUUACUCAUGAAACAUAAAUAAAUAUGUGUGUAGAUUUGUACUUAUAUGUCAUCGGUACUAAAUAGUUUACAACAGAUUCAUAAACACAAGAGAAAACUCUGAUUUGAUUGGCAAGUUCAUGAGUGCCAAUCAGUUGUUAAGUGACAGCACGCUCCUGCCAGUCUUAGACAAUGACCUCUGAGUAAUACGCAUGAACUUGCCAUAAUUAGUCUUACAUGCGUGCAGAUUUUCAGUGGAUCUCAAAUGGCUUUUAAGGCAGUCGUCUCUCACAGUUGUAUUCUCUUAACUCGUACCGUCGAUGCAGUUGUGCAGGAUUAAACUGUUGUGUGUUCCACCUAUCCACUGAGCCACAAUGUUAAGCAACACACAAUUCACAUUUUGUAUUUUUAACACUUUUAGGGUAAUUUAUUAUUUUAAUUAUCAGUGAGCAUGUAAAACAAAACAUGAUUUGAAUGGUCUAAAAUGACCCAUUAAAUUUUUUAUUUUUGUGAGCAUAGCCGAUCACAAAAUGAAUUCAAAAUUAGAUAGCUGAUUAUAACAAGCAACGUUUAUGGACAUUCAUUAUUUACACAACGGCUAUAAGCAGCCUAGAGCAGGUGUAGAUUUAGCUACACAGUCACUGAAAUUUCUAAAUUAUUGAUGCAAGCUAGUUAACUCAUAAAUCUGUUCCAUUCAGGUUUCAGGAGAGAGUUGUUGUCUUUGUUUAAUAUCAGAAUAACUUACAUCUUUUUAUUAUAAAUUUCUUUUUGCUAAUUUUAGUCCUGGACAUCCCUGCCUUGAUCUCUCAUCUCUGCUCUGUUUUCUCUUCUGUGAACUUGCAUGAGGCCGAAUGAGGAAAUGAACUUUCUCUCUUUUUUAGCUCAUUAGCUUUAAUCGGGUGGGUUUCUCUAGCGUUGCCCCUGGCCACCCUCUGUGCAGUCAGAUGCUUUUGGUCCAGCUCAGGCUUGGAUGUCUAAAUCACUUUAAUUAGAGGGCUAAUUGGUGACUCUCACAGCCGGCUUCUCCCAGAAAAAUAUUACUUUGGUCUGGGUUCAGUGGCUCAUGCCAAUAAGAUUACUGCAGAGUGAUGGCAUCCAUAAAAAAAAAAAAAAAGAAACAGAAAGUAUGACUUCACUCCUUGAUGAUGAAAUGUUCAGUUCGGUCGUGAGUUUCAUCUGUAACUAAAGUCGACAGCUCUGCCAGGGGAGCCGAACAUGCUCGGGUCGGUGUGGGGGCUUUGUUGCUGAGGCCUGACACAUCGUCUCGUUAAUUCCUCGGUAAAUGCAGGAUCUGGAUUCACACUCAGAGCCAAACAGAUGCUCACAGCCCUCUGUCAGUCCCUUAGGUGAUGCUGGGUAAGAGGCUGGGCUUCCUCCAGCGCACCUCCGCUUCGCUGUCAGCCGCCUCCUCCUGAGAGCACCAACACAUCUGACAGUGUAAAUAUCUCCAGAGCAGACACAAAGCUGCAGGAACCACACACAGACCUCAAAUAAAACUUACAAAACACACACACACACACACACAUUUCCCAUGAAAACUACAGGACCCUAUGUUUUAAAAGGGUCAGACACCUUCAUUAUAAAGUUGAAUAUGGAGCUGAAUCCUUGAUCAAAAGUAUGUUUAAGACCUCUGAAUAUUCUGUCUGCUGUUUGAAAUGUUGUUUUUUGUCAUGUGUUAAUUUAUGUUGCUUGGCUUGUAUGUUGUAAGUGGAGCUACAGUGAUGCAAGUCAAAUUUCAGACUCUAUCUGCCAAUAAACCACACAUGCAUCCCAAUGAAAAAAAUCACAAAUAACACAAAGUCACUCUUAUGAAAACUACACACAAACUUGUCUAUAACCCUGUGCAAACCACGCACACAAACCCAAGAAAAACCUACAAACACUGCACAGAAGCUCGUGGAAAGACUCAUGCAAACCGAACACAUACUCCAUGAAAACUACACACCAACUCCAGCAGCAGCUUGUCUUUAAUAUGGACGUCCAUAUGCUGAGUCCUGAGGCAGCUGUCUAAAUGUGACAUCAGGUUUUCCUGUGCAGAUGUGUUAUGGAUGUGCUCAGGUAGUUCUCAUCAGGUAAUCAUUAUCACUUCUACCUGUUUGCAGCUGCAAAUCAAAGGAAUGGACUCCGUCAGCUGGCCAGACUGCAGAUCUAAAGGUGGUUAUAUGAAUAUACUGGUUGAUCAAAAACUUGUCCAAGAGUUAUUCAGCAGCUUACAAAAGCUUGGUCUGGAUGAUCUUCACUUCAAAAUACUAGCUUUGUCCAGAAAGUUUGCACAAGGCCGACACUCUUUUGUAUGUGCUUAUUUCAGCAUUUAGGUUUGUAACUAAGUCGGUAAGUUUCACUCAGCGUCACUUCUGUCCUUCAAAUGUACAAAGUUUAACAUUUAUCCAAGUUGUUAUGAGACUUAUGAGUCUCUAGUCUGUGUUAUUCCUCCCCCACCAGGCUCUCUUAUGCUUUUCUUUGGUACUGAACAAGACUAUGAGACAAAAGAUGUCUCUUAAUGCACAAUCAAAAUCUCUGUCAAACUUGCUAUUUUUAGCUGACAAGCUGCCAGCUUGAAGGUUGCUCUUUCAUACGGUAAUUAAGAUGUAAAAAGCUGUGAGAAAGCAGCAAACAGACAGAUUAGAGUAUUCCCUCUGAAACAGACAGUGAAUAUAACCUUAGUGAUAUAACCUCAUGACCAAUCAUGUAGUGGGAACAGCAGGGUAAGGACCCAAAUACAGACGUUUAAUGCAGGGCCAGCGCACAGAUUUGUGGGCACAGUGAAGACAAAAGCUUUCAAACAUGGGAUGGAAGUCAAAACACUGACACUAAACUUGAGAGCUCAUGUAUUAAGAGGAACUUUGCAGAGGGCUAUAGAUUCAGGUCCAGUUCCAAGAAUUGAUGAGUCAUGCCCAGGAUGUCUCAUGAGGUGUUGUAUCUGUUUUCUUCAAUUCGGUUUUUAACACCUCUUGUAUGUGUCUGCACUGUUUUCCUUCCUUUCUCUGCUGGUGACUUAUCAGCCAUUAAUCGCAGAUUUAAAAAAAAAAGUGUUUUCUGAAUAAAUUGAGAGCAAAAUUUAAAAUAUCAACAAUAUUGUUCAUGGAUGCUGCCAGAAAUUAAACUUUUUGCUCCAUUGUCAACAGGAAGUAACCAAAAUCUCUUCUAUUCUCGAUUUGGGGUGAGUGAUCUGGUUGUCCCUGGCAAUUUUUAAUGAGAAUCAUUAACCAUUGGCAUAGCGCUGAUAACCAAUCAGAAUCAGGUAUGUAACACAGCUGGGUGAUUAGUAAGGAAGCGGACUAGAAUUAAGGAGUGUCUGUGCUAUUACAUCGUUGGAACUAGCUAGGAUACUAGUCAGGAAGCUGCUGCAUGCUAACAUUAGUUCAACUCUUAGUUUACUACUGCAGUUAAUACGUUUAGGCUACACACGCAUAUCAGAUUCUGUCAAUUCUGCAGUUGACUUUGCAAAUUCGGCAGAAAUCGUUUAUAUCCGCAGAAGAAGACGUAAAAGACAUAGUUUGCUCGCACACGUUGAAGUAUUACCAAACCUUUACUUGAUGCUUGAGAGCCCAGCAGGGAACACAGUUGUGUGCACUGUGAUGACGUCAGAUGUUUGGUUACGGUGAUUGGUUACAGUAGUCUGUCUAUCAAGGAAAGUACUCCCACCCACUUUUAGGGCUCCCAAUUGGCCGAAGUCCAGACUGUUGUGGGAAGGAACGGCAAGUGAUUCACGCAACUGGAUGGCCCAGCCAGUCUAGGAUAUCGUCACUACUGUAACAGAGGCAGACACCCACUGAGCAUUUUUUGGUCUAAAUGGGGUCUAAUAGACGUCUAAUUGCAGCCUAGAUGACUGGUCUAAAAUCAGGCUACCACAGGUCUAAAAAGGAAAGUUUUUUUAGACGUCUAAAUUUAGACCAAGUCUAAAUCUGAGCUAUGUCUUUACCAGAGAUGGAAAUUGUGGAGUCACCAAGUCAUCUCCAUGCCAUGUAUUUGUUCUGCUCAGUUACUGAACCAGGUGCCUUCACUAAUGAGCUCACCUUCCUGGCUGCUCAUUGGAAGCAGCUGGUUCAGUUACAGAGCAGAACAAAUACAUGACAUGGAGAUGACUUGGUGACUCCACAAUUCCCAUCUCUGGUCUAUACUAUACUGUAUAUAUUGCUUAACAGCUAUGAUAAUUAUAUUGGUUAUGUACUUGGAGAUCAGUUAUGCAACUCACAGUUGCUUUUUGAAAUAAAAAGUUAUUGAAUAAUGGGUUAAAGUGCAACGUCUAAAUUAUACAAAAUAUACAUAAAAUAUAAAAAUAUACAGAAAUAUACAGACAUCUAAUAGCCGUCUAUCGCUCAGUGGGCAUGCUUCUGUAUAUGAUUUGAUAUUUGCCCAGUGCAUGUAAACUGAGGCAAAGACAGUUGUCCAAUUAAAUCGCCUCAUCAAGCCCUAACUGUAGCUUGACCUAACUAUGAAAUAUACUGAGAGAUUUCAAAACUGGGGUUCUGGAUCCUUAGGGGCACCUGGAGUUAUGCCAGUUUGUGGGUUGAGUGGGGCCAGUAAUGCUCAAUAAAAACAUACUUUUCUGCACUGCUCACAAAGCCUGGUAAGUUUUUCAAAAGGCCUGCCAGACAAAAAAAGAAAUCUGGCGGUGAAUCUACACCUAUUGUCCCAACUGGUGAAACAAGGACAAAGCCUUAUGAAGAGUCAAACCUCAUUCUGGCUUCACCUCCAUCUACAGUAAACUGCCCGCUCAUUAAAAACUUGGCAGUUGCAUGUUGCAGAGUCACUGUAAAUCACUUCUUAGUAAAAGAGUCUUGUUUCAUCAGGUCACUGACAAACAGCAAAGUUGCUAUCCUGUAAUUUUAGAUUUUUUUCACAUAGUUAAAAAGAUAAAUGAAAUUGUAAGAGUGUGUCUGAUAGUGUAUUUUAGGGUGCAUACAGUCUAAAGACAUAUGUAUAUUUGGUAUGUAUAGUAAUGGAGUAAGUUAGGCCCGGAACUCUGGACAGACUCAUUACAUAUUAUUGCUUUACUGGUCUGGUUUGCUUGUGCAGGGGUUCAAAACUGUUUCUGUGUCAAAAUGGGGACAGAGAAAUACUCAGAAACAUCAGUAUGGACUGGAUUUUUUUAAACUAAGACAAAAAUGAAAAACAGUAAAACAAACAGUUAAAAAAAUAUAUCUUCAUAUGUGUGUACUAGACUCAACUUCGUAUUUUUGCUACAUAUACAUCCAUGAAACCAACAAAAACCAGUCACUGAUCAAUCAGGGAUUACACUGGAUCCACUACAGCCUAGAUUUAAGCUGCAGGCUGAAGGAAGUCUUUUCUAGCCAAGGUUUCAAAGAAGCUCAGACAUCUGGAGGAAGCUCAGAGCAGAGUCAGUGCUCCUUUACUUCAAAAGGAGUCAGCUGAGGUGUUUUGGGCAUCUGAUUAGGAUGAAUCCUGCAUGCUUCCGUUUGGAGGUAUUCCAGACAUACUAAACUGGGAGGAGACCUGGAAGUGUAUAUAUCAGAGUGCCUUGGGGGGAUUUUAUAUCUUCUCUGUCCUGAAAAUACCUCAAAAUCCCAGAGGAGGUGCUGGAAAAUGCUGCUGGGGAUAGAGAGACUAGUGAGACAGGUAUAAAGCAGCAUGAAACUUUCAUUCAUAAAGUUUAUCCUCCAAGCCUCCACAGUGCAGCGUUGCAUUAGUUCAGUAAAUCAACUUGAAUUCGCUGUUUGUGGUUCACAAUGUACUCUCACUUCUUGCAUUUAUGUCGGGAGUUACUGUUAACUUGGCAGACCCUCCUCAGAUGUCGCCAAGAGUGUUAGAGGAGGGUCUGGAGAGGUUUUAAAACACCCACGGUGUCGGGAAAUGGCAGCGUUGACGAUGCAGCACAGACUUAACUCAGACAGCAGGAUCAAACAUCUCUGUGGCCCUGCUGGAUGAACAUGAACACACAAACUUGCACAUUCAUUCAGUUUCAGGGUCAUCAACCGAGCUGCUCUUUGUGUGUCAGUGGCUUUGCAUCGCAGACAUCAUUGACACAAGGUCCUCACUGUCAGCUCUCUGUGUCCCUGUGAGUCACACAAUGAGCCGGGUGAGGGAGGCAGCCAGUGAGUGAAGAUGCGCAAGGCUGAAGGUCUGUCUGUGUGUGUUUGCUCUGAAUGUAUCAUCAGAGGAGGCAAGCAUGCAGGGAGCUCAGCAGGUUCUUACGCAGUAUCCUGAAUCUAUCAGUGUGUGAGGUCUGGUCUCCACAGGCCAGUAGCACCAGCUGAGUCUUAAGCAGUCCGUAUAUCCUGUAGACCACCUAGACGGUUUAAAAAAGGAAAACCUUUACAGGGUUUCCUCUGGGUCAGGAGAUAUUCACAGACAGAUUCAGCUCUGAGGGAGCCACAGGCAAAGUGAGCUGCUGGUCUUUAUCAGCUGCUAUUCUACAAAUUUGUUAUGUGCAAACCAAGUGAGGAUUAAACCAUCAAAUCAAUGGAGGGAGAUUAAAUUCAAUUAGUCUUUUAUAUGAAUCUUUUUUAACUCCAUUCAUUCAUCCAUGCAUUUUCCUCCACAGAGAUCAGGUUGUGGCUUUGAGCGAGUUGACCCAGACCUUCUUCUCUGCAGCAGCUCCUCCUGCAGGAUCCCAAAGCGUUCCCAG
This is a non-coding RNA of Xyrichtys novacula (pearly razorfish), 26969 nucleotides long. The record is from the annotation of a GenBank genome assembly. NCBI's taxonomy places the organism in Eukaryota, Metazoa, Chordata, Actinopteri, Labriformes, Labridae.